RNAcentral lists this long non-coding RNA (1206 nucleotides) under Felis catus (domestic cat). RNAcentral describes it as "lncRNA (ENSFCAG00000047109.1)". The record is from RNAcentral. Lineage: Eukaryota; Metazoa; Chordata; Mammalia; Carnivora; Felidae.
CUUCAUCCCUGCCGCUGGGCCCUGUCUGGCUCCUCCGGCUACCAGGCCCCCUCCCCUCUCUCCCCUGCAGCCCGUGUCCUUUGCCUCCUCAAGGACAUUUGCAACCAGAGUGUCAUCCGUUCACUCAGUCUGCAUUUCCCUCGAAAACACAAUCUUCAGCUUGAGAGGCCGCGCGCGCGCGCGCGCGCACACACACACACACACACACACACACACACACACACACACACCCUCCCUGUGCCGACCAGUCUCUCUCCAUGCCGGUGUCAAGAUGAGCCUGGAUUGAAACCUCACUCUGCUGUGUGUCUCUGGUCACAUUUGUCAACCUCUCUGAGCCUCGGGUUUCUUAUAAAAUGGGAAAAGCCAUCCAGAGCGGACGUAAAGGCCAGGGCUCACCUGGGAAGGCCCCGCAGGGAGCCUGGUGCCUGGUGGUCCAGUGGCCAGAGGCCCAGGGCCGUGCCUGGCACAUGGUGGACCUCGGCUGUUCUUGAGCGGGACUCGGGCCACCUCGGGCCAGCGGCACAAUUUGGGGCAGUGUCAGCCUCUGCAGCCCGGUCUCCUCCCUCACGGCCCCUCACGCUCCCCCGGUGGCCCCAACACACCAGCGAUUUGCACCUGUCUGCCUGCUCACCCUCUCCCGGACGUCAAAGUCCUGUCGCCUGCAGCUCCCCGUGGGGAUGUCCCCUGAUGUCGCCUGCUAACCUCAAAGCAGGCCCUCGGCACAGGUUCACGUGUCUUGCCCGUCUUCCCGAGAAACGCCAACUCCGGGGGACAGAGGCUGCUCCCGGCUCUCAUCCCCGAGCCCCGGCAGGACCACGGUACUGUCAGGUUGGACCGAAGGGGUCCAGAGGCUCUGUGAGCCUUAGGACAGCAGCGCGUGGCUCCGAACCGCCAGCCACAAACAGCGGCCAAGCCUCGUCCGCCAGUCGCGGACGUGAGGACACAGGGCGUCCCGGGCUCGAAGGGUCCCGGUGCGUCGGCCAGAGGAGUCGUUUGCUCGAAACUGUGCUCCGCGGGCCGAAGGCCCAGGAUUCCGGAGAGCCCUGCCCCAGGUCCGCGAGUGUUCCAGACGUGUUACUAGUGCGCAUCUCUAGCGCUCGCCGCAAGACACCGGGGCCGGGUUUCGGCAGCGCCUCCAGCCGCCGAGCUCGCACAGCGCAGCCUCAUUCCCCCGAACCGCACGGCCACUCGCCCAGACCGACUUGA